AGACGUCUACAUUAGAUACCCCUGUAGUCCCAGCCGUAAACUAUGCGCGUUAGGUGUAUCGGUGACCACGAGUCACCGAGGUGCCGAAGGGAAACCGUGGAACGUGCCGCCUGGGAAGUACGGUCGCAAGGCUGAACUUAAAGGAAUUGGCGGGGAGCACCACAACGGGUGGAGCCUGCGGUUUAAUUGGACUCAACGCCGGGAAGCUCACCGGAUAAGACAGCGGAAUGAUUGCCGGGCUGAAGACUCUGCAUGACUAGCUG
Molecule: ribosomal RNA, 263 nt
Filed under: uncultured archaeon
Lineage: Archaea
Description: partial 16S ribosomal RNA
Rfam family: Archaeal small subunit ribosomal RNA
Source: RNAcentral